CCUACGGGUGGCAGCAGUGGGGAAUAUUGGGCAAUGGGCGAGAGCCUGACCCAGCAACGCCGCGUGAAGGAAGAAGGCUUUCGGGUUGGAAACUUCUUUUCUCAGGGACGAAGCAAGUGACGGUACCUGAGGAAUAAGCCACGGCUAACUACGUGCCAGCAGCCGCGGUAAUACGUCGGUGGCAAGCGUUAUCCGGAUUUACUGGGUGUAAAGGGCGUGUAGGCGGGGACGGAAGUCAGAUGGGAAAUCCACGGGCUCAACCUGUGGCCUGCAGUUGAAACUGUGUUUCUUGAGUACUGGAGAGGCAGACGGAAUUCCUAGUGUAGCGGUGAAAUGCGUAGAUAUUAGGAGGAACACCAGUGGCGAAGGCGGUCUGCUGGACAGCAACUGACGCUGAGGCGCGAAAGCGUGGGGAGCAAACAGGAUUAGAUACCCCUGUAGUC
RNAcentral lists this ribosomal RNA (443 nucleotides) under uncultured bacterium. RNAcentral's name for it is "partial 16S ribosomal RNA". It matches the Rfam family "Bacterial small subunit ribosomal RNA", at positions 338 to 795 of the family's 1533-position model. The record is from RNAcentral.